AGCUCCAAUAGCGUAUAUUAAAGUUGCUGCAGUUAAAAAGCUCGUAGUUGGAUUUCUGACCUGAAACACUUUGCCGGCCACGGUUUCGUGUGUUAGUGCUUUGUGUUCUGGUCAUCCUUCCAAUCGCUAUCAGCUUUCUUCAUUGAUUGUUGAGUGGUAUUGGAUCUUUUACUUUGAAAAAAUUAGAGUGUUUCAAGCAGGCUUAUGCUAUGAAUACAUUAGCAUGGAAUAAUAAUUUAGGACUUCGGUUCUAUUUUGUUGGUUUCUAGAACUGAAGUAAUGAUUGAUAGGGACAGUUGGGGGUGCUAGUAUUCAGCGGCCAGAGGUGAAAUUCUCGGAUUCGCUGAAGACUAACUUAUGCGAAAGCAUUCACCAAGGAUGUCUUCU
Molecule: ribosomal RNA, 387 nt
Filed under: uncultured Cercozoa
Lineage: Eukaryota; Cercozoa
Description: SSU rRNA
Rfam family: Eukaryotic small subunit ribosomal RNA
Source: RNAcentral